CUGGCGGCUGGCUCAGAACGAACGCUGGCGGCUGGCUCAUACCCAACGCUGGCGGCUGGCUCAGAACGAACGCUGGCGGCAGUGGGACUCCUACGGGAGGCAGCAGUGGGACUCCUACGGGAGGCAGCAGUGGGACUCCUACGGGAGGCAGCAGUGGGGCAGUUGGCUCAGAACGAACGCUGGCGGCCCCACUCCUACGGGAGGCAGCAG
This 210-nucleotide unclassified non-coding RNA is filed under the name uncultured bacterium. RNAcentral's name for it is "partial contains 16S ribosomal RNA and 16S-23S ribosomal RNA intergenic spacer region". The record is from RNAcentral.